AUUUUUUCAGGAGAAUAAGGGAACCUCUAAGCCCAGGUACGAUUGUGUGGUACCUGGAUGCGGUGCCACAAGCUUGGUCCGCAUCGACAUGCAUCUGCAUAGACGUCAUGGAUUUACUACUGGCAGCGCUGAAUACAAAAAAUUCAGACAGCUGCAGACACAGAUGCAGCAAGAAAAAUGAUGGUAAACCAGUGAUCGCCGAAUUCCAGGCAUAUCUUAAAGAUACCCUGCAUAUGCCAGGAAAGCAGGCUAGCCAAGUGGUGAGGGAGGUGGAAGGCAUCUUGG
This 285-nucleotide long non-coding RNA is filed under the name Anneissia japonica. Its description in RNAcentral is "uncharacterized LOC117107266, transcript variant X1". The record is from RNAcentral. Lineage: Eukaryota; Metazoa; Echinodermata; Crinoidea; Comatulida; Comatulidae.